This 916-nucleotide non-coding RNA is filed under the name Microhyla nanapollexa (no-thumb pigmy frog). Its description in RNAcentral is "partial small subunit ribosomal RNA". It matches the Rfam family "Bacterial small subunit ribosomal RNA". Lineage: Eukaryota; Metazoa; Chordata; Amphibia; Anura; Microhylidae. The record is from RNAcentral.
UUAUUGUCAGCUACUUAUCUACCUACACAUGCAAGUCUCAGCACCCCUGUGAGAACGCCCUUUUACCUACACCAGGAAAAGGAGCCGGUAUCAGGCACAAUAUCUUGCCCAAGACACCUAGCUUUGCCACACCCUCAAGGGUAUUCAGCAGUGAUUAACAUUGUUCAUAAGCGCCAGCUUGACUCAGUUAAAUAAAAUAGAGCCGGCUAAUCCGGUGCCAGCCGCCGCGGCUACACCGCUAGGCCCAAGUUGACAAUUACUCGGCGUUAAGAGUGUUUUAAGUGCCCUAAACCAUUAGAAUUAAACUUUAACCAAGUUGUGACACACUUGUUCUUAAAAAAAACAUAAACGAAAGUUAUUCUAAUUUGACCACUUGAACCCACGACAGCUAAGACACAAACUGGGAUUAGGUACCCCACUAUGCCUAGCCGUAAAAUAUUAACUUACACCUCAUUCGCCAGGGAAUUACGAGCGCAAGCUUAAAACCCAAAGGACUUGACGGUGUCCCACCCACCUAGAGGAGCCUGUAUAAUCGAUUUUCCCCCGAUUCACCUCACCACUUCUAGCCACUCAGCCUGUAUACCUCCGUCGUAAGCUUACCAUAUGAACGCAUACUUAGUGAGCCUAAAGAUUUACCAUAAACACGUCAGGUCAAGGUGCAGCCCACGAUGUGGAAAGCAAUGGGCUACAAUUUCUAUACUAGAACAAACGAAAGACUACAUGAAACUCAGUCAUGAAGGCGGAUUUAGCAGUAAAAAGAAAAUAGAGUGUUCUUUUUAACAAGGCCCUGGGACGCGUACACACCGCCCGUCACCCUCUUCAAAUGUACAUAACAGUUUUUAACUACACUUUACUCUACAGAAGAGGUAAGUCGUAACACGGUAAGCGUACUGGAAAGUGCGCUUGGAUUAACAAA